Molecule: ribosomal RNA, 229 nt
Filed under: uncultured bacterium
Lineage: Bacteria
Description: partial 16S ribosomal RNA
Rfam family: Bacterial small subunit ribosomal RNA
Source: RNAcentral
CGCGCAGGCGGGCUGAUCAGUCUGGGGUGAAAUCUCUCGGCUCAACCGAGAGAGGCCCUCAGAUACUGUCAGCCUUGAGGUGCCUAGAGGAGAGUGGAAUUCAGGGUGUAGUGGUGGAAUGCGUAGAUAUCCUGAGGAACACCAGUGGCGAAGGCGACUCUCUGGGGGCAUUCUGACGCUGAGGCGCGAAAGCGUGGGGAGCGAACAGGAUUAGAUACCCUGGUAGUCC